RNAcentral lists this ribosomal RNA (253 nucleotides) under uncultured bacterium. Its description in RNAcentral is "partial 16S ribosomal RNA". It matches the Rfam family "Bacterial small subunit ribosomal RNA", at positions 524 to 776 of the family's 1533-position model. The record is from RNAcentral.
UACGUAGGGGGCAAGCGUUGUCCGGAAUCAUUGGGCGUAAAGAGCGUGUAGGCGGCUCGAUAAGUCUGCUGUGAAAGUCCAGGGCUCAACCCUGGAAGGCCGGUGGAAACUGUCGGGCUGGAGUCCGGAAGAGGCGAGUGGAAUUCCCGGUGUAGCGGUGAAAUGCGCAGAUAUCGGGAGGAACACCAAUGGCGAAGGCAGCUCGCUGGGACGGUACUGACGCUGAGACGCGAAAGCGUGGGGAGCAAACAGG